AGAAGAAGAGGAAGAGAGGCCUGAGCGAGCAUAUUAGCAUGCUCCACCCCCUUCCCACGUGAUGCCCUGUGCUGCCUCGGAACCUGCAGGGUCCCACCAGCAAGAAGGCCCUCAUCAGAUACGGCUCCUCAACCUUGGACCUCCAGCCUCCAUAACUACCCAACCUGUCUGCUGGCUAUGGACAUCCUCCCUUACCUUCACAUGUCACAUGGCAAGUGCCCUCUCCCUGUGAGGGGCAAGGGUGAGAUGGAGGGAGAAGCCCUGUUGAGCUGCUUGGCCAUGAACAGUUUGGGGGAACAGGAAGCUUGCCUUGACCUCGGGUCCAAGACUCCCUCCCUAGAGAUCUCAUCAAAUAACCAGGAAAGACCAACCAACAGAGAAGAGACUGGAAUCAUCUGCCCAGAAAGACGUUUCAUCUAUUCUUCUAAGGACAGCUCCAAGAGAUUACCUGGGGGACUUUGUAUAAAAAAUAAGACAACCUGUGUUCCUGUGCAGCUUCAUCCCUCAUCUUCCCCUAAGUGUCAAGAAGCAAUAGUUAGUCCACAAGCACGAGUGAAAUUACUGAACAAAAUUAAGAUGGAUACAGCACUCUAAAACACCCAUUUGAAUGCAUGUGAAAUCGACGACUUUCUCAAGGUUGAAAAUUUGAAUGGAUUAAAGGAGAUCAGUGAGAGUACAUGAUGCUGCUGGUGAAACACGGGUUUGGAAUUACCUUCUGGAGAUUGGGGUUUCAGAAAACAGAAAAUCAAAGACAAGAAACAGAAUUACAGUAUAAAAUCCUUAGAUUUGAGCACAACUUUAUGGCUUACACAGGGUAGUCAGAUAAGUUAUUUGUUCCUCCUUGCAACCUUAAGAGGUCAAAAUUUGGAUCAUUCCCAUUUAACAGAUAAGGAAACUGAGGGAACUAAAGCUUGAGGUUGUCAAGUAACUUUCCCAAGUAUACUCACCAUAGACCCAGUGCUCUUUGAACUUGAACAUGUAUUCACCGAAUGCAUUAACACUGACCAGAAUCAAACUUUACUUCCCCAAAUAAGCAAGCCCAGAUAAAAACAAAUAGCAGAUUAGUCACAUGUGCAAGCAUUGGGCAAUCAUAUGUAUCCAGGGUGGGCUAUAUGCACUGUGGUUGCUGCUGUGAAGGGUACACAGGUCCCAGAAUCACAGGUGCCUUCAUAUUAAAAAGGACCUUCGAGUUCAUCUACUCCAAUCUCCACAUUUUACCUGAAUAAACUAAUGCUCAGAGAUACUAAGCAGCUUCCCAAGGUCAAACACAGCAAAUUAAAGUCAGCCAAGACUCAAGGCCUGGUUUCCAACAAGGCUGCCUUCUCAAGGAGUCCACAGUCUGGAAGACUAGACUAUAACAAGUCAUAAGACAGGAGUCAUCACAAGGGAAUACACAAUUAUUUGCAAAUGACUCUUAUUGACAAGGAAAAGGCUGAUGCUUCAGGGAACAGAUGUUGCUGGACCCACUGACACAGCAUUACAUUUCUGAGCUAAGAGGCUGAGUCAAUUGGACCCAUACAUUCUGUGCUUCCUGGUUUUGCAAUUGGAUUGAUUGAACUCUGCAGAAACAGCCAUAAGGACAAUCUAAGGAAAUAAAGCAAUUGUGGCCCCGGGGAUCAAGAGCUCCAUUGAGUUGAGAGUCCUAGACAGCUGCCUCAGAGAACCAAAGGGUUUCCAUAUCACUAGGUGAAGGAUACUCCCUUCUUUCAUACAGAAGCUGCUGUGGUGCCAGUCUUCCUAGGAAAUGUUCCUAGUGACCAGAAAAUGUCGAACAGGGAUGUUCGCUCAGUGCUGGAUCUUAGUCACUGAGCAUACCCUCCUCCUACCACUCUAUCCACUGACUAUUAACUAGCCUCCUAUCUCACCUUCCUGAGGCUGAGUUUACUCUCUAGGAGGAGGUUAAAAACCACAGAGAGAAGCUGGGUGUGGUGGCCUGUAGUGUCAGCUACUCGGAAGGCUGUGGUGGGAAGAUCGUUUGAGCCCAUGAGUUUGAGACCAGCCUGGGUAACAUAGCAAGACUCUGUCGCUAAAAAUAAAAACCACAAAACAAGGAAUUACUAAGAGACCUGGAGGGAAUGUAGGCCAUGUAGCCCAGAGAAGAAUUUCAGGAUCCAGAGUCAGACAAACAAACCCUUCCUCAAAUCUCAACCCUUCCAUUCCGAGGCUGAUUGACUUUAAGCAAAUCAUGUCUAUUCUCUGAGUGUCACGUUCCUCACCUGUGAAAUAACCACCAUCAUUGGGCUUUCAGGGAGGAGAAGGGGCAGAAAUGAUAUCAUUCAUGUCGAGCACCUAGUAAAAAGCCUAUACAUAUCACCAU
RNAcentral lists this non-coding RNA (2317 nucleotides) under Pan troglodytes (chimpanzee). Lineage: Eukaryota; Metazoa; Chordata; Mammalia; Primates; Hominidae. The record is from RNAcentral.